AAGGAAUUAGUUUAAACUAAAACAUUAAUUUGUCAAAUUAAAAAUAUUUUAUAAAUAUUUCUUA
Molecule: transfer RNA, 64 nt
Filed under: Trigonotylus caelestialium
Lineage: Eukaryota; Metazoa; Arthropoda; Insecta; Hemiptera; Miridae
Description: tRNA-Asp
Source: RNAcentral